AUACGAAGGGUGCAAGCGUUAAUCGGAAUUACUGGGCGUAAAGCGCGCGUAGGUGGUUCGUUAAGUUAGGAGUGAAAGCCCCGGGCUCAACCUGGGAAUUGCUUCUAAAACUGGCGAGCUAGAGUAUGGUAGAGGGUGGUGGAAUUUCCUGUGUAGCGGUGAAAUGCGUAGAUAUAGGAAGGAACAUCAGUGGCGAAGGCGACCACCUGGACUGAUACUGACACUGAGGUGCGAAAGCGUGGGGAGCAAACAGGAGUAGAUACCCUGGUAGUCCACGCCGUAAACGAUGUCAACUAGUUGUUGGGUUCCUUGAGGACUUAGUAACGCAGCUAACGCAUUAAGUUGACCGCCUGGGGAGUACGGCCGCAAGGUUAAA
Molecule: ribosomal RNA, 376 nt
Filed under: uncultured bacterium
Lineage: Bacteria
Description: bacterial SSU rRNA
Rfam family: Bacterial small subunit ribosomal RNA
Source: RNAcentral